This 390-nucleotide unclassified non-coding RNA is filed under the name soil metagenome. Its description in RNAcentral is "partial contains 5.8S ribosomal RNA, internal transcribed spacer 2, and large subunit ribosomal RNA". The stretch from base 3 to 121 matches the Rfam family "5.8S ribosomal RNA", at positions 38 to 154 of the family's 154-position model. The record is from RNAcentral.
GAGAAGAACGUAGUGAAAUGCGAUACUUGGUGUGAAUUGCAGAAUCCCGUGAACCAUCGAGUCUUUGAACGCAAGUUGCGCCCGAAGCCAUUAGGCCGAGGGCACGCCUGCCUGGGCGUCACACGUCGUUGCCCCCCCAUCUACUCCUUCGGGAUUGCGGGGGGCGGAUGAUGGCCUCCCGUGCGCCUCGUCGCGCGGUUGGCAUAAAUGCCAAGUCCUCGGCGACGCACGCCACGACAAUCGGUGGUUGCGAAACCUCGGUUGCCCGUCGUGUGCGGUCGUCGCGCAUCGAGGGCUCGAAAAAAUUGCCGGGCUCCGGCUCGGCUUUCAACGCGACCCCAGGUCAGGCGGGGUUACCCGCUGAAUUUAAGCAUAUCAAUAAGCGGAGGA